AGCAUGCAAGUCAAACGGGAUGUAGCAAUACAUCUAGUGGCGAACGGGUGAGUAACGCGUGGAUGAUCUACCUACGAGAUGGGGAUAACUAUUAGAAAUAGUAGCUAAUACCGAAUAAAGUCAAUCAAUUUGUUAAUUGAUGAAAGGAAGCCUUUAAAGCUUCGCUUGUAGAUGAGUCUGCGUCUUAUUAGCUAGUUGGUAGGGUAAAUGCCUACCAAGGCGAUGAUAAGUAACCGGCCUGAGAGGGUGAACGGUCACACUGGAACUGAGAUACGGUCCAGACUCCUACGGGAGGCAGCAGCUAAGAAUCUUCCGCAAUGGGCGAAAGCCUGACGGAGCGACACUGCGUGAAUGAAGAAGGUCGAAAGAUUGUAAAAUUCUUUUAUAAAUGAGGAAUAAGCUUUGUAGGAAAUGACGAAGUGAUGACGUUAAUUUAUGAAUAAGCCCCGGCUAAUUACGUGCCAGCAGCCGCGGUAAUACG
This 481-nucleotide ribosomal RNA is filed under the name Borreliella burgdorferi (Lyme disease spirochete). RNAcentral's name for it is "bacterial SSU rRNA". It matches the Rfam family "Bacterial small subunit ribosomal RNA", at positions 52 to 527 of the family's 1533-position model. The record is from RNAcentral. Lineage: Bacteria; Pseudomonadati; Spirochaetota; Spirochaetia; Spirochaetales; Borreliaceae.